RNAcentral lists this ribosomal RNA (450 nucleotides) under uncultured bacterium. Its description in RNAcentral is "partial 16S ribosomal RNA". It matches the Rfam family "Bacterial small subunit ribosomal RNA", at positions 354 to 796 of the family's 1533-position model. The record is from RNAcentral.
GUGGGGAAUAUUGGACAAUGGGCGAAAGCCUGAUCCAGCCAUGCCGCGUGUGUGAAGAAGGUCUUCGGAUUGUAAAGCACUUUAAGUUGGGAGGAAGGGCAGUAAGUUAAUACCUUGCUGUUUUGACGUUACCGACAGAAUAAGCACCGGCUAACUUCGUGCCAGCAGCCGCGGUAAUACGAAGGGUGCAAGCGUUAAUCGGAAUUACUGGGCGUACAGCGCGCGUAGGUGGUUUUGUAAGUUGGAGGUGAGAUCCCCGGGCUCAACCUGGGAACUGCCUCCAAAACUGCAUGACUAGAGUACGGUAGAGGGGAGUGGAAUUUCCUGUGUAGCGGUGAAAUGCGUAGAUAUAGGAAGGAACACCAGUGGCGAAGGCGACUACCUGGACUGAUACUGACACUGAGGUGCGAAAGCGUGGGGAGCAAACAGGAUUAGAAACCCCGGUAGUCC